CGAUCAGGAGAGUCGGGCUGAUCUAUUUUCUCUCUGACAGGUAGCAUCAGCCGCCAGCUGGAGGAAGAUUCUAAACUACUUGAGGACCAAAUUAUCUUCAAGUGGAGAGAACCGUCCAUGAGAACGACACCUCAUGACUCAGCCCGUUCAUUCAUUCAUCCCAACCCAGCAACAACUUGAAUCGGUUUAAAGAUGAUUGAGCAGCGCCACGCAGGAUUUAUCAUAUUUGUGACAGGAAAAGCAGUCAGUUUGGCAGGGAACAAAUGAUAUUACAGGGCCCAAAGUUGAAUGACAGUGGGUUAAAGCAGCUGCUGAAGCACAGACAAUGAGCGGAGAAAGUGGCAAUUCACAGCCUGUUAACGUUGGAUUUUGGAAGUUGUGCCGCUCCCAUGAGCCUCCGCUGCAGCUGGCUGGGAACCCGCAGGCGGGACAGGUUUGCCUCCGUGUCUGUACUGAGACUUCUGCUUUUGGCUAUAAGACGGGCCAGAACUGGAAGUGUCCUGUGAGUCCUG
Molecule: long non-coding RNA, 512 nt
Organism: Hyaena hyaena (striped hyena)
Lineage: Eukaryota; Metazoa; Chordata; Mammalia; Carnivora; Hyaenidae
Exons: 3
Source: RefSeq, a predicted model, not a curated record